Molecule: ribosomal RNA, 628 nt
Filed under: Tetrix tubercarina
Lineage: Eukaryota; Metazoa; Arthropoda; Insecta; Orthoptera; Tetrigidae
Description: eukaryotic LSU rRNA
Rfam family: Eukaryotic large subunit ribosomal RNA
Source: RNAcentral
UUGGGCUCUACUAAACCCAUAAGCGCAAUGAAAGUGAAGGUUUCGCCUCGCGCGGACCGAGGGAAGACGGGGGUACAAAGCGCCGUGCUCGUUUCGCGGUUGCGCCCUCUGCAUUCCCGGGGCGUCUCGUCCUCAUUGCGAGGUGAGGCGCACCUAGAGCGCACACGUUGGGACCCGAAAGAUGGUGACCUAUGCCUGGCCAGGACGAAGUCAGGGGAAACCCUGAUGGAGGUCCGUAGCGAUUCUGACGUGCAAAUCGAUCGUCGGAGCUGGGUAUAGCGGCGAAAGACUCAUCGAACUAUCUAGUAGCUGGUUCCCUCCGAAGUUUCCCUCAGGAUAGCUGGUGCUCAAACGAGUCUCAUCCGGUAAAGCGAAUGAUUAGAGGCCUUGGGGCCGAAACGACCUCAACCUAUUCUCAAACUUUAAAUGGGUGAGAUCUCCGGCUUGCUUAAUUGAAGCCGCGAGAAUUCAUUUCGGAUCGGAGUGCCUAGUGGGCCACUUUUGGUAAGCAAAACUGGCGCUGUGGGAUGAACCAAACGCCGAGUUAAGGCGCCCGAAUCGACGCUCAUGGGAAACCAUGAAAGGCGUUGGUUGCUUAAGACAGCAGGUCGGUGGCCAUGGAAGUCGG